GGGCGUGUAGCUCAGCUGGUUAGAGCGCACGAUUCACAUUCGUGAGGUCGACGGUUCAAGUCCGUCCAUGCCCA
RNAcentral lists this transfer RNA (74 nucleotides) under Candidatus Kerfeldbacteria bacterium RIFOXYA2_FULL_38_24. RNAcentral's name for it is "tRNA-Val". It matches the Rfam family "tRNA". Rfam says of the family: Transfer RNA (tRNA) molecules are approximately 80 nucleotides in length. The record is from RNAcentral. RNAcentral also lists the same sequence under 2 other names. Lineage: Bacteria; Candidatus Kerfeldiibacteriota.